GCCUGGCAGGCUCAGUAGGUAGAGCAGUGACUCUUGAUCUCAUAGUCAUGAGUUCAAGCCCCAUGUUGGGCA
RNAcentral lists this transfer RNA (72 nucleotides) under Canis lupus familiaris (dog). It matches the Rfam family "tRNA". From Rfam's summary of the family: Transfer RNA (tRNA) molecules are approximately 80 nucleotides in length. Their secondary structure includes four short double-helical elements and three loops (D, anti-codon, and T loops). The record is from Rfam by way of RNAcentral. Lineage: Eukaryota; Metazoa; Chordata; Mammalia; Carnivora; Canidae. RNAcentral also lists the same sequence under 3 other names.